Molecule: ribosomal RNA, 1228 nt
Filed under: metagenome
Description: bacterial LSU rRNA
Rfam family: Bacterial large subunit ribosomal RNA
Source: RNAcentral
GAGGGGCGCGAGAUAACUCUCUCUAAGGAACUCGGCAAAAUGGCCCCGUAACUUCGGGAGAAGGGGUGCCACCGCAAGGUGGUCGCAGUGAAGAGGCCCAGGCGACUGUUUACCAAAAACACAGGUCUCCGCUAAGUCGCAAGACGAUGUAUGGGGGCUGACGCCUGCCCAGUGCCGGAAGGUUAAGGAAGCUGGUCAGCGCAAGCGAAGCUGGCGACUGAAGCCCCGGUGAACGGCGGCCGUAACUAUAACGGUCCUAAGGUAGCGAAAUUCCUUGUCGGGUAAGUUCCGACCCGCACGAAAGGCGUAACGAUCUGGGCGCUGUCUCGGAGAGAGGCUCGGCGAAAUAGAAUUGUCUGUGAAGAUGCGGACUACGUGCACCCGGACAGAAAGACCCUAUGAAGCUUUACUGUAGCUUGGUAUUGUGCCCGGGCUCUGAAUGCGCAGGAUAGGUGGGAGGCUUUGAUCCAUUGCUUGCGGGUGAUGGUGAGCCAACGGUGAGAUACCACUCUUUCAGAGCUAGGGUUCUAACGGUCACCCGUUAUCCGGGGACCGGACAGUAUCAGGUGGGCAGUUUUGACUGGGGCGGUCGCCUCCUAAAAGGUAACGGAGGCGCGCAAAGGUUCCCUCAGGCUGGUUGGAAAUCAGCCGACGAGUGUAAAGGCAGAAGGGAGCUUGACUGUGAGACCUACAAGUCGAACAGGGACGAAAGUCGGCCUUAGUGAUCCGACGGUUCUGAGUGGAAGGGCCGUCGCUCAACGGAUAAAAGUUACUCUAGGAUAACAGGCUGAUCUCCCCCAAGAGUUCACAUCGACGGGGAGGUUUGGCACCUCGAUGUCGGCUCAUCGCAACCUGGGGCUGAAGUCGGUCCCAAGGGUUGGGCUGUUCGCCCAUUAAAGCGGUACGCGAGCUGGGUUCAGAACGUCGUGAGACAGUUCGGUCCAUAUCCGGUGCAUGCGCAGGAACAUUGAGAGGAUUUCUCCCUAGUACGAGAGGACCGGGAGGAACGCACCUCUGGUGUGCCAGUUAUCGUGCCAACGGUAAACGCUGGGUAGCCAUGUGCGGAGCGGAUAACCGCUGAAAGCAUCUAAGUGGGAAGCCCACCUCAAGAUGAGUGUUCCCAUGGCAUAAGCCAGUAAGGUCACGGGAAGAACACCCGUUGAUAGGCUCUACGUGGAAGCGUGGUAACACGUGAAGCGGAGGAGUACUAAUAGACCGAGGGCUUGAC